This 239-nucleotide long non-coding RNA is filed under the name Mytilus galloprovincialis (Mediterranean mussel). The record is from RNAcentral. Lineage: Eukaryota; Metazoa; Mollusca; Bivalvia; Mytilida; Mytilidae.
GUAAUACUGAGUCACAGCCCACAGUUUCCUGUAGUACUGUGUCACAGUCCACAGUUUCUUGUAAUACUGAGUCACAGUCCACAGUUUCCUGUAUAACUGAGUCACAGCCCACAGUUUCUUGUAGUACUGAGCCACUGCCCACGGUUUCCUUUGGUACUGAGACACACACAAUGGUCACCGGUAGAACUGAGACGCUGCAGUCUUUAAAAUUUGAAAAAGAUGAUAUUGCUAUUAACAGA